Molecule: non-coding RNA, 857 nt
Organism: Camellia sinensis
Lineage: Eukaryota; Viridiplantae; Streptophyta; Magnoliopsida; Ericales; Theaceae
Source: RefSeq, a predicted model, not a curated record
UUUUAAUUGAUUGCUUGGGUCAACUCCCACAUUGUUGUUUAGUUGCUGUAAUAUUUAGAUAUGAAGCUAAAAUGUUGAGCAUCUCAGCCAUUGGUGGGGAUUUGACCAGCAUCCACUCCCCAAUUGUUGUUCACCCAUCAUACAGUAUAUUGAUCCAAAGAACUUGCUUUGCUUUGAGUUUUUAUGUCAUCCAUUUCUGAAGUGAUGCUAGGCUGCUUCACACAGAUGCACCUUACUCAGCCACAUGAUGAACAUGUUUUAAGCUAACUGUAGUCAAUUUCAAAAGCGUCUGCUCCCACAUGUUAUUAUAUAGAAUCCCAAAUGUGACUCAUCCAUUCAUUGUUUCCUCUGUAUUUUAUUUUGUUUUAUUUCAGUUACAGAGAUAUGUGCCCUCAAUAGGUGGUUGAGGUACACUAGCUGGAUGAAAAUUUAAAUAUAUGUAGCACCCAUUUAUUUCAUCCUCGUACCUUUUUACAAAUUCUCUUGUUGAGUAAUGAGCAACAAGAACUCUCUUGAUCAUCUGUUUCUCUAAUUUUUUUUUUAUGAAAAAAAAUGGCUGCUUUAUUUCCAUUUCAUGCUUUUCUAUAUUUUUCUUUAAAUAUGCAACCAUGGUUCCAGUUUUAAUAAAUCUGACGUUCAUUAUGCAGCAUAGGUUUAGUGCACCGCAAGGGAUAAUGGACUGGCACGCAGCCCCAGGAAGUCCAAGUUCCUACAUUGUGAAGAGGAUAUUGCGCUUGGAGAUACCGGUGGACAGCUAUCCAAAUUUCAAUUUUGUUGGGCGGCUUCUAGGUCCUCGGGGCAAUUCCUUAAAACGUGUGGAAGCUUCAACAGGUUGCAGAGUAUUCAUUAGAGGAAAA